Molecule: ribosomal RNA, 472 nt
Filed under: uncultured bacterium
Lineage: Bacteria
Description: partial 16S ribosomal RNA
Rfam family: Bacterial small subunit ribosomal RNA
Source: RNAcentral
GACGAACGCUGGCGGCGUGCUUAACACAUGCAAGUCGAACGCUGAAGCUUGGUGCUUGCACUGGGUGGAUGAGUGGCGAACGGGUGAGUAAUACGUGAGUAACCUGCCCUUGACUCUGGGAUAAGCCUGGGAAACUGGGUCUAAUACUGGAUACGACAUGCCACUGCAUGGUGGUGUGUGGAAAGGGUUUUACUGGUUUUGGAUGGGCUCACGGCCUAUCUGCUUGUUGGUGGGGUAAUGGCCUACCAAGGCGACGACGGGUAGCCGGCCUGAGAGGGUGACCGGCCACACUGGGACGGAGACACGGCCCAGACUCCUACGGGAGGCAGCAGUGGGGAAUAUUGCACGAUGGGCGGAAGCCUGAUGCAGCGACGCCGCGUGAGGGAUGACGGCCGUCGGGUUGUAAACCUCUUUCAGCACGGAAGAAGCGAGAGUGACGGUACGUGCAGAAGAAGCGCCGGCUAACUACGUG